CAGCCGCCGCGGUAAUACCGGCGGCCCGAGUGGCGGCCACUAUUAUUGGGCUUAAAGCGUCCGUAGCCGGGUUGGUUAGUCUCCCGGGAAAUCUGGCCGCUUAACGGUCAGAAUUCCGGGAGAUACUGCCAGCCUAGGGACCGGGAGAGGCCGAGGGUAUUCCCGGAGUAGGGGUGAAAUCCUAUAAUCCCGGGAGGACCACCUGUGGCGAAGGCGCUCGGCUGGAACGGGUCCGACGGGGAGGGACGAAGGCCAGGGGAGCAAACCGGAUUAGAUACCCGGGUAGUCCCGGCUGUAAACGAUGCGGGCUAGGUGUUGGGUGGGCUUAGAGCCCACCCAGUGCCGCAGGGAAGCCGUUAAGCCCGCCGCCUGGGGAGUACGGCCGCAAGGCUGAAACUUAAAGGAAUUGGCGGG
Molecule: ribosomal RNA, 414 nt
Filed under: uncultured microorganism
Description: bacterial SSU rRNA
Rfam family: Archaeal small subunit ribosomal RNA
Source: RNAcentral